This 1528-nucleotide ribosomal RNA is filed under the name Klebsiella pneumoniae. Its description in RNAcentral is "bacterial SSU rRNA". It matches the Rfam family "Bacterial small subunit ribosomal RNA". Lineage: Bacteria; Pseudomonadati; Pseudomonadota; Gammaproteobacteria; Enterobacterales; Enterobacteriaceae. The record is from RNAcentral.
AGAGUUUGAUCAUGGCUCAGAUUGAACGCUGGCGGCAGGCCUAACACAUGCAAGUCGAGCGGUAGCACAGAGAGCUUGCUCUCGGGUGACGAGCGGCGGACGGGUGAGUAAUGUCUGGGAAACUGCCUGAUGGAGGGGGAUAACUACUGGAAACGGUAGCUAAUACCGCAUAACGUCGCAAGACCAAAGUGGGGGACCUUCGGGCCUCAUGCCAUCAGAUGUGCCCAGAUGGGAUUAGCUAGUAGGUGGGGUAACGGCUCACCUAGGCGACGAUCCCUAGCUGGUCUGAGAGGAUGACCAGCCACACUGGAACUGAGACACGGUCCAGACUCCUACGGGAGGCAGCAGUGGGGAAUAUUGCACAAUGGGCGCAAGCCUGAUGCAGCCAUGCCGCGUGUGUGAAGAAGGCCUUCGGGUUGUAAAGCACUUUCAGCGGGGAGGAAGGCGAUAAGGUUAAUAACCUUGUCGAUUGACGUUACCCGCAGAAGAAGCACCGGCUAACUCCGUGCCAGCAGCCGCGGUAAUACGGAGGGUGCAAGCGUUAAUCGGAAUUACUGGGCGUAAAGCGCACGCAGGCGGUCUGUCAAGUCGGAUGUGAAAUCCCCGGGCUUAACCUGGGAACUGCAUUCGAAACUGGCAGGCUAGAGUCUUGUAGAGGGGGGUAGAAUUCCAGGUGUAGCGGUGAAAUGCGUAGAGAUCUGGAGGAAUACCGGUGGCGAAGGCGGCCCCCUGGACAAAGACUGACGCUCAGGUGCGAAAGCGUGGGGAGCAAACAGGAUUAGAUACCCUGGUAGUCCACGCCGUAAACGAUGUCGAUUUGGAGGUUGUGCCCUUGAGGCGUGGCUUCCGGAGCUAACGCGUUAAAUCGACCGCCUGGGGAGUACGGCCGCAAGGUUAAAACUCAAAUGAAUUGACGGGGGCCCGCACAAGCGGUGGAGCAUGUGGUUUAAUUCGAUGCAACGCGAAGAACCUUACCUGGUCUUGACAUCCACAGAACUUAGCAGAGAUGCUUUGGUGCCUUCGGGAACUGUGAGACAGGUGCUGCAUGGCUGUCGUCAGCUCGUGUUGUGAAAUGUUGGGUUAAGUCCCGCAACGAGCGCAACCCUUAUCCUUUGUUGCCAGCGGUUAGGCCGGGAACUCAAAGGAGACUGCCAGUGAUAAACUGGAGGAAGGUGGGGAUGACGUCAAGUCAUCAUGGCCCUUACGACCAGGGCUACACACGUGCUACAAUGGCAUAUACAAAGAGAAGCGACCUCGCGAGAGCAAGCGGACCUCAUAAAGUAUGUCGUAGUCCGGAUUGGAGUCUGCAACUCGACUCCAUGAAGUCGGAAUCGCUAGUAAUCGUAGAUCAGAAUGCUACGGUGAAUACGUUCCCGGGCCUUGUACACACCGCCCGUCACACCAUGGGAGUGGGUUGCAAAAGAAGUAGGUAGCUUAACCUUCGGGAGGGCGCUUACCACUUUGUGAUUCAUGACUGGGGUGAAGUCGUAACAAGGUAACCGUAGGGGAACCUGCGGUUGGAUCACCU